UGGGGUGUCUUUACCAGAGGGGCCACACCCGUUCCCAUUCCGAACACGGUAGUUAAGCCCUCUAGGGCCGAUGGUACUGUAGUAGCAAUGCUAUGGGAGAGUAGGACGAUGCUCCAU
This 117-nucleotide ribosomal RNA is filed under the name Omnitrophica WOR_2 bacterium GWA2_44_7. Lineage: Bacteria; Pseudomonadati; Candidatus Omnitrophota. RNAcentral also lists the same sequence under 3 other names. The record is from RNAcentral.